Long non-coding RNA from Cryptotermes secundus, 1216 nucleotides. RefSeq lists it as uncharacterized. Lineage: Eukaryota; Metazoa; Arthropoda; Insecta; Blattodea; Kalotermitidae. The record is from RefSeq and is a predicted model, not a curated record. The transcript has 3 exons.
UCGGAAUUAAUUUAAAAAGGUAGUCUUCCUCCAUAUGAUUGCUAAUGAAAAUUAAACACCUUUACCAACAUUUUGGAGGAACGUAAUGCCCCCAUCUUUGGGGCUGAAGAGUCAGUUUAAUGCCAUGUGGUCUGGUAGACAGUUAACCAUCCUUUUGAAGGAACAUGCUGUCUGCAUCUUCAGGGCAGAAACAGAUCUGAUGCUGUGUAAUCUGGAUAAUUACCCACAUUUUAUAGGAACCUGUUGCCUCCAUUCUGAGGAUAGAACAGGGGUGUAUUGGAGUGAUGUGGUUUUUGGCCGUUAGCACAGUAAGUGUAUCAAUGAAACCAAUCUAAUAUCACUGUUACCUUGGUUUUAUAUAGUGACAUGAUACACAACAGGAUGCAAACAGUAAAAUGUAGAGGUGUGUUGUGAUGCUGUGUAGUCUUGCAGAUAAUUGGCAACUUUUUGGAGAAAGAUGUUGCCUCCAUCUACCUUGCGUUAUCAGGAAGAGCUGAAGACACUAACGGAAACAACACAUCAACAGAGUCAGAGGAAUAAAAGUGAAGGGUUCAGAUUUUUUCCCAACUCCAUAUUGGUGCCCUCCAUAUUAAAACCAGUCAUCAUAUUGUUCUUCAGUUUCCUGUUCCAACAAUUAUCAUGAGGUUAUGUUAUCAUAUUUUAUGCUGUCCGUGUUUUUAAGAUGGUUGGAGAAAAUUUUGGAUCAGGAUUUGAUGAAUAUGACCCACUUGUAUUUCUGGGAUUAAUAAGAUUUAUAAUGAGUAUUGUUGCAGCAAUAACUUACUGUAGAUUUGGUCAUCGGCCAUUGAAUAUAUUGUCAGGACUAGGGAUGUGCAAUACAACAUUAAUUGCAGGUAUUUACUUGCACAUAAACCCUGUUGAAUAUACUGGAAUCUUUAUAAACUCAGAAAACAGCACAGAAGUUGUAAUUACCACAGAAAUGGAACAUUGGACAUGUGUACUGUGUGUUAUUAUAUGUGUGCUUCUGUUCCCUGGGGGUUCUUGUGAUUCCAUGGACUCUGAUAGGAGAACUCAUACCAAUAAAAGUUAGAGGUAUUGGUGGUGGUUUCAUGGGUGGAACUGCAUACAUUUUGAUGUUUGGUGUUCCAAAAACUUUCCCUUCUGCAUUGUAUAUUACUGGGGCUGAAGGAACCUUUUUUUCUCUCUCUCUCUUCCCCCCCCACCAACAUAAAAUGCAAAGAAUGGGUCUGGCAUU